Molecule: long non-coding RNA, 1142 nt
Filed under: Coturnix japonica (Japanese quail)
Lineage: Eukaryota; Metazoa; Chordata; Aves; Galliformes; Phasianidae
Description: lncRNA (ENSCJPG00005002918.1)
Source: RNAcentral
UUUCUACCACGCCCUAUCCCCCUUAAUACCCCAUAUAUCCCCUUGCUACCACCCAUAUCCCCUUCUACACCCUAUAUCCCUUAAUAUACCCCANUAUACCCCAUUAUAGCCCCAUAUACCCCAUUAUACCCCCAUAUACCCCAUUAUAGCCCCAUAUACCCCAUUAUACCCCCCUAUACCCCUUCUACCACCCUAUACCCCUUAAUACCCCCCUAUAUCCCCUUCUACCACCCCAUACCCCUUAAUACCCCCCUAUAUCCCUUUCUACCACCCUAUACCCCUUAAUAACCCCAUAUAUCCCCUUCUACCACCCUAUAUCCCCUUCUACCACCCUAUAUCCCUUAAUACCCCCCUAUAUCCCCUUCUACCACCCUAUACCCCUUAAUACCCCCCUAUAUCCCCUUCUACCACCCUAUAUCCCCUUCUACCACCCUAUACCCCUUAAUAACCCCCUAUACCCCCUUCUACCACCCUAUACCCCUUAAUACCCCCCUAUAUCCCCUUCUACCACCCUAUACCCCCUUCUACCACCCUAUACCCCUUAAUACCCCCCUAUACCCCCUUCUACCCCCCUAUAUCCCCUUCUACUCCCCUUAAUACCCCCCUAUAUCCCCUUCUACCACCCUAUACCCCCUUAUACCCUCCUAUAUCCCCUUCUACCCCCCAUAUCUCCCCCUAUACCCCAUAAUACCCCCAUAUACUCCAUAUAGUCCCCUAUAUCUCCCCCUAUAGUUAUCGUAUGGCUCGAGCUCCCCGGCCCUAUCGAACCGUCAGCGUUUCCCGACGUUUUUCCGCACCCACCCCUCUGCCACGUUGCACAACCCGACGCGGGUUCAGCUCUUCCGUAAAUGGGGAUGGACCAAAAUCGCCACCAUCCAACAGACAACGGAGGUCUUCACAUCGACCCUGGACGACCUGGAUCAACGUGUCCGUGAGGCCGGGCUGGAGAUCACCUUCAGACAGAGCUUCUUCUCCGACCCCGCAGCGCCAGUGAGGAACCUAAAGGUAAAACCCCAUAGAGACCCAUAGAGACCCAUAGAAACCCAUAGAGACCCAUAGGAACCGCAUAGAGACCAUAGGAAACCCAUAGAGACCCAGUUAGAGACCCCAUAGAGACCCAUAGGAAAACCCAUAGAGACCCC